GACGUAGGGUGCAAGCGUUGUCCGGAAUUAUUGGGCGUAAAGCGUUCGUAGGCGGUUUGCCAAGUCUGAUGUUAAAUCCUGGAGCUCAACUCCAGUCCAGCAUCGGAAACUGGCAGGCUGGAAUAUGGUAGAGGCAAGGAGAAUUCCCGGUGUAGCGGUGAAAUGCGUAGAUAUCGGGAGGAAUACCAGUGGCGAAAGCGCCUUGCUGGGCCAUUAUUGACGCUGAGGAACGAAAGCUAGGGUAGCGAAAGGG
This 253-nucleotide ribosomal RNA is filed under the name uncultured bacterium. RNAcentral's name for it is "partial 16S ribosomal RNA". It matches the Rfam family "Bacterial small subunit ribosomal RNA", at positions 524 to 776 of the family's 1533-position model. The record is from RNAcentral.